CAGCAGCCGCGGUAAUACGUAGGGUGCAAGCGUUAAUCGGGAUUACUGGGCGUAAAGCGUGCGCAGGCGGCUAUGCAAGACAGAUGUGAAAUCCCCGGGCUCAACCUGGGAACUGCAUUUGUGACUGCAUGGCUAGAGUACGGUAGAGGGGGAUGGAAUUCCGCGUGUAGCAGUGAAAUGCGUAGAUAUGCGGAGGAACACCGAUGGCGAAGGCAGCCCCCUGGGCCAAUACUGACGCUCAUGCACGAAAGCGCGGGGAGCAAACAGGAUUAGAUACCCGGGUAGUCCCUGUCUCUUAUAC
RNAcentral lists this ribosomal RNA (301 nucleotides) under uncultured bacterium. Its description in RNAcentral is "partial 16S ribosomal RNA". It matches the Rfam family "Bacterial small subunit ribosomal RNA", at positions 509 to 807 of the family's 1533-position model. The record is from RNAcentral.